UACACGAGGCGCCUCCAUUCCAAAAUAAAAUUCUACAAUCAUUAGUUCGUUGUAUUAAUAAUUUUUCCUCUUUCAAAUCAGCGUCAUUUUUUUCCCGAGGUGCUAUACCAAUAACCAAUUUCAUGAUAAAGAUGUUUAACAAACCACCUACUAGUACGUGAAAAAAUUCAUAUUAAGGAAGUUGGUGAAAACUUGGCCACCCUUUUUCUCUUGUAAUUUACCAUUUGUUAUUAUUAUUACUAUUAUUAGCUUGUUCAACCAAUUUUAAUUAGUGACAUAAUCAUUGAGCCUUUGGAGAAGACAUCUCUUUUUUUUUAAUUCAUGCUUACUAUAAUCCAGAUUGGUGAUUGUAAUAUGAAGAAUAAUGAAGAAAAAGGGAGAAAAGAAACAAAGAAUAUAAGUAUCACUUUGGAGGCUUUAGAGGUAGAAGCCAGUGAAAGAGAUAAGAGGGGAGGGGGCAUGGGACCAUAAACAAACGCUCCUUGGUCCACAAAGUUGGCACCUCAGCAUCUAAGGUUGUCCUACAUUGCAAGCUGCUACAAAGUCCCUCUCCUUGGAUGGAAGCUUAAGGUUAGAUGAGAGGGACAAAAUAAUACAUGAAUGCCCUUUGUCAGUGACAUGGUUUCUCUAAUUCACGCGACCGUGACAGAAGGUGGGGGGACCAUACAUGGUGAAGAAAAAUCUAUCAAGUUUCUAAAAUGGGCUCCAUCACGUUCAUCUUGUGUGACUCCUAAUCAAUAUCUCAUUGAACAAUGUUGAAUCAUACAUGGCAUCAAGGUUUAUACCAUGUGAGAGUCUGCAUCCAAUAUCAGAGACAAAGUUCAUAUUCGUGAUCUACGCUAACAAAUAUAAUACACAUGAUAAUCAAAUCAAAUAUCUAGGACAAGUUCUCGUACAACAUAGUAUACACAAAGCUGGCAAGGUGAUAUAUUUUAUCUCAAUCAUUUGAGAUGUGUUAACUAAAACUGAAUGAACGUUACUGCAAUAUAUUUUUCUCACAUGCAUAUUCAGAAUAGCAAGAAAACUAAGAUAUACUUCUACUCACGUACAAUUUAGUACAACAAAUACACUAGGACAUAUAUGAUUGGCACAAUGCAAAAAA
This is a non-coding RNA of Arachis ipaensis, 1102 nucleotides long. Lineage: Eukaryota; Viridiplantae; Streptophyta; Magnoliopsida; Fabales; Fabaceae. The record is from RefSeq and is a predicted model, not a curated record.